RNAcentral lists this long non-coding RNA (532 nucleotides) under Nicotiana benthamiana. RNAcentral describes it as "long non-coding RNA (NBEN_LNC016819)". Lineage: Eukaryota; Viridiplantae; Streptophyta; Magnoliopsida; Solanales; Solanaceae. The record is from RNAcentral.
CAAUAAUCGAAACCAAAAAAAGAAGGUAAAAAUUGCUAACGUACUUCAAGUAUCUGGCAUCAAGUUAUUCAAAUCCUCCGAGUUAGCAAAAAACAGUCGGGCAUUAUUCGUUUGGAGCACCAGCACACAAGAGUAACAACAGCAAACAAAGCUGUUGAGCAUUAGUCUUUUGGAGCACAUAUAGUUCUGACAUACUUUCAUUACUAGGUGAUAACACUAAACUUGUGCCACAACUUGGUGGCAGUAAAAGGGCAUACAUAAAGAGGAGGUAAAAAUGAAGGGGGAGAAAAGAUAAACUGAAUGAAAAGAAAAAAAAAUACCAAAAGACACUUUUAGCUCGCAAUGAAACAAGCGGCGGCAGUGAAAAGGCAUACAUAAAGAGGAGGUAAAAUUGGAGGGGGAGAAAAGGUAAACUGAAUGAAAAAAAAUAAUAGUAAAAGACACUUUUAGCUCGCAAUGAAACAAGCCCAAAAUUAUGACUCUUACUUGCAGUUCACUAAAUACGCAUCCCACCCUUGAAGCCGGUAUUCAC